GGCGCUUUACCUGUGCAGUCGGUUAGAGCGUGGGUCUAAUAAGCCCAAGGUCGCAGGUUCGACCCCUGCUGGCGGCA
Caenorhabditis elegans is the source of this 77-nucleotide non-coding RNA. The record is from Rfam. Lineage: Eukaryota; Metazoa; Nematoda; Chromadorea; Rhabditida; Rhabditidae.